Molecule: ribosomal RNA, 466 nt
Filed under: uncultured bacterium
Lineage: Bacteria
Description: partial 16S ribosomal RNA
Rfam family: Bacterial small subunit ribosomal RNA
Source: RNAcentral
GAUGAACGCUGGCGGCGUGCUUAACACAUGCAAGUCGAACGGAAAGGCUCCUGCUUGCAGGGGUACUCGAGUGGCGAACGGGUGAGUAACACGUGGGUGAUCUGCCCUGCACUUCGGGAUAAGCCUGGGAAACUGGGUCUAAUACCGGAUAGGACGAUGGUUUGGAUGCCAUUGUGGAAAGUUUUUUCGGUGUGGGAUGAGCUCGCGGCCUAUCAGCUUGUUGGUGGGGUAAUGGCCUACCAAGGCGUCGACGGGUAGCCGGCCUGAGAGGGUGUACGGCCACAUUGGGACUGAGAUACGGCCCAGACUCCUACGGGAGGCAGCAGUGGGGAAUAUUGCACAAUGGGCGCAAGCCUGAUGCAGCGACGCCGCGUGGGGGAUGACGGCCUUCGGGUUGUAAACUCCUUUCGCUAGGGACGAAGCGCAAGUGACGGUACCUGGAGAAGAAGCACCGACUAACUACGUG